This 256-nucleotide ribosomal RNA is filed under the name uncultured prokaryote. RNAcentral's name for it is "partial 16S ribosomal RNA". It matches the Rfam family "Bacterial small subunit ribosomal RNA", at positions 522 to 777 of the family's 1533-position model. The record is from RNAcentral.
AAUACGUAGGGGGCAAGCGUUGUCCGGAUUUAUUGGGCGUAAAGCGCUCGCAGGUGGCCCGAUGCGUCGUGCGUGAAAGACCCCGGCUCAACUGGGGGGCGUCGUGCGAUACGGUCGGGCUGGAGGCCAGUAGGGGGAUGCGGAAUUCCGGGUGUAGUGGUGGAAUGCGUAGAGAUCCGGAGGAACACCAGCGGCGAAGGCGGCAUCCUGGACUGGUCCUGACACUCAUGAGCGAAAGCGUGGGGAGCGAUCCGGA